GAGGGUACAGCUCAGUGCUAAAGCACAUGCCUAGCAUGCAUGAAGUCCUGGGUUCAAUCCCCAGUACCUUCA
RNAcentral lists this transfer RNA (72 nucleotides) under Camelus bactrianus (Bactrian camel). It matches the Rfam family "tRNA". Rfam says of the family: Transfer RNA (tRNA) molecules are approximately 80 nucleotides in length. Their secondary structure includes four short double-helical elements and three loops (D, anti-codon, and T loops). Lineage: Eukaryota; Metazoa; Chordata; Mammalia; Artiodactyla; Camelidae. The record is from Rfam by way of RNAcentral. RNAcentral also lists the same sequence under 2 other names.